GACGAACGCUGGCGGCGUGCUUAACACAUGCAAGUCGAACGGAAAGGCCCUGCUUGCAGUCUACUCGCGUUGCCAACGGGUGAGUAACACGUGGGUGAUCUGCCCUGCACUUCGGGAUAAGCCUGUGCAACUAGGUCUAAUACCGGCUAGGUGCCAUUUUUAAUCUUAUGGUUGGAUAGUUUUUUCGGUGUUGGGUGAGUUGGGGGCGUAUCUGCUUGUUGUUGUGGUAAUGGCCUACCAAGGCGGCGGCGGGUAGCCGGCCUGGGAGGGUGGACGGCCACAUAGGGACUGAGAGACGGCCCAGACUCCGACGGGAGGCAGAAGUGGGGAAUAUUGCACGAGGGGCGCAAGCCUGAUGCAGCGACGCCGCGGGGGGGAUGACGGCCUUCGGGUGGUAAACUCCUUUCGCAAGGGACGAAGCUUUUUGUGACGGUACCUAGAUAAGAAGCACCGGCUAACUACGUG
RNAcentral lists this ribosomal RNA (465 nucleotides) under uncultured bacterium. Its description in RNAcentral is "partial 16S ribosomal RNA". It matches the Rfam family "Bacterial small subunit ribosomal RNA", at positions 28 to 507 of the family's 1533-position model. The record is from RNAcentral.